AGAGUUUGAUCCUGGCUCAGGACGAACGCUGGAGGCGUGCUUAACACAUGCAAGUCGAACGAUGAAAUGGAGCUUGCUCCAUGGAUUAGUGGCGAACGGGUGAGUAUCACGUGAAUAACCUGCCCUUAAUUUUGGAAUAACCCAGGGAAACCUGAGCUAAUACCGAAUAAGUAAACCUGUGGCAUCACAUGGUUUUGGAAAGUUUUUCGAUUAAGGAUGGAUUCGCGGCCUAUCAGCUUGUUGGUGAGGUAACGGCUCACCAAGGCGACGACGGGUAGCCGGCCUGAGAGGGUGAACGGCCACACUGGGACUGAGACACGGCCCAGACUCCUACGGGAGGCAGCAGUGGGGAAUAUUGCGCAAUGGACGAAACUCUGACCCAGCGACGCCGCGUGCGGGAUGAAGGCCUUCGGGUUGUAAACCGCUUUCAGUAGGGAAGAAGCGAAAGUGACGGUACCUACAAAAGAAGCACCGGCUAACUAUGUGCCAGCAGCCGCGGUAAUACAUAGGGUGCAAGCGUUGUCCGGAAUUAUUGGGCGUAAAGAGCUCGUAGGUCGUUUGUUACGUCGGAUGUGAAAACCUGAGGCUCAACCUCAGGCCUGCAUUCGAUACGGGCAAACUAGAGUUUGGUAGGGGAGACUGGAAUUCCUGGUGUAGCGGUGGAAUGCGCAGAUAUCAGGAGGAACACCAAUGGCGAAGGCAGGUCUCUGGGCCAAUACUGACACUGAGGAGCGAAAGUCUGGGGAGCGAACAGGAUUAGAUACCCUGGUAGUCCAGACCGUAAACGGUGGGCACUAGUUGUGGGAACCUUCCACGGUUUCUGCGACGCAGCUAACGCAUUAAGUGCCCCGCCUGGGGAGUACGAUCGCAAGAUUAAAACUCAAAGGAAUUGACGGGGCCCCGCACAAGCAGCGGAGCAUGCGGCUCAAUUCGAUGCUACGCGAAGAACCUUACCUGGGUUAAAUCAUCGUGAAAAGCCACAGAGAUGUGGUGUCCGAAAGGGCGCGAUGAAGGUGGUGCAUGGCUGUCGUCAGCUCGUGUCGUGAGAUGUUGGGUUAAGUCCCGCAACGAGCGCAACCCUUGUCCUAUGUUGCCAGCAUUAAGUUGGGGACUCAUAGGAGACUGCCGGGGUCAACUCGGAGGAAGGUGGGGAUGACGUCAAGUCAUCAUGCCCCUUAUGUCCAGGGCUGCAAACACGCUACAAUGGCCGGUACAGAGGGCUGCGAGACCGCGAGGUUGAGCGAAUCCCAUAAAGCCGGUCUCAGUUCGGAUUGAAGGCUGCAACUCGCCUUCAUGAAGCUGGAGUUGCUAGUAAUCCCGGAUCAGCACGCCGGGGUGAAUACGUUCCCGGGUCUUGUACACACCGCCCGUCACACCAUGGGAGUGGGUUUUGCCAGAAGCAGUUAGCCUAACCGUAAGGGGGGCGAUUGCCACGGCAGGGUUCAUGACUGGGGUGAAGUCGUAACAAGGUAGCCGUA
RNAcentral lists this ribosomal RNA (1478 nucleotides) under uncultured bacterium. RNAcentral's name for it is "partial 16S ribosomal RNA". It matches the Rfam family "Bacterial small subunit ribosomal RNA". The record is from RNAcentral.